UACGUAGGGGGCGAGCGUUGUCCGGAAUUACUGGGCGUAAAGGGAGCGUAGGCGGUCGAUUAAGUUAGAUGUGAAACCCCCGGGCUUAACUUGGGGACUGCAUCUAAUACUGGUUGACUUAGAGUACAGGAGAGGGAAGCGGAAUUCCUAGUGUAGCGGUGAAAUGCGUAGAUAUUAGGAGGAACACCAGUGGCGAAGGCGGCUUUCUGGACUGACACUGACGCUGAGGCUCGAAAGCGUGGGGAGCAAACAGGAUUAGAUACCCUGGUAGUCCACGCUGUAAACGAUGAAUACUAGGUGUAGGGGGUAUCAACUCCCUCUGUGCCGCAGCAAACGCAAUAAGUAUUCCGCCUGGGGAGUACGGCCGCAAGGUUGAA
RNAcentral lists this ribosomal RNA (377 nucleotides) under uncultured bacterium. RNAcentral's name for it is "bacterial SSU rRNA". It matches the Rfam family "Bacterial small subunit ribosomal RNA", at positions 524 to 898 of the family's 1533-position model. The record is from RNAcentral.